UAAAUUUAUUUACAUUCGUUGUCAUCUCAAGCUAAGUCCCGUGAUCCUUUAUCAACUAUUAUUCCAACUAGAUGCUAUCAAAUUACAGAAGUCAAAGUUCUCUAAUCUCUUUCUCUCCAGUAGAAAGUCUAUCUUUCUUUCUGAAUAUAAGUACUAAAUUCUUUUGUCAUCGGGAUUACAAUCCUCGAAUCAUUUAUCUAUUUGUUUAACAUAAGACAUUCAAUAACUUCCUACCUUUGAUCUCUUUUUAGAUUUAAAUUUACUAUUCAUGAACCACUAAAUUCUCGAAACUCACCUCGCAAAGACCCGAUUAACUCAACUCAAAAGUUUGGUUAUAACAUUAUCAAUUAUUUAUUUAAUAUCCUAUUAGAAUUAUCAUCAACAGUGAUAAUUAUUUUAAACCUCAAAGCCAUUUUUCCUACCUUCAAUAGUAUACAUGUUCCAUCAUUCUAUCUUUAAUAAUAUUUCGCUCCUUUUUUGUUUAACUACAUAGUCUUAACUACUUAUUCUAACGCAUCUUUUAACUUUCUAAAUUUUCAUAAAUCUUAAAUUUAUUUACAGCAUAAAAUUACUAUUCAUGAUCAUUUUAAUUCUUAAUAUCC
RNAcentral lists this long non-coding RNA (602 nucleotides) under Jatropha curcas. RNAcentral describes it as "long non-coding RNA (JCUR_LNC001106)". The record is from RNAcentral. Lineage: Eukaryota; Viridiplantae; Streptophyta; Magnoliopsida; Malpighiales; Euphorbiaceae.